Long non-coding RNA from Notolabrus celidotus (New Zealand spotty), 978 nucleotides. RefSeq lists it as uncharacterized. The record is from RefSeq and is a predicted model, not a curated record. Lineage: Eukaryota; Metazoa; Chordata; Actinopteri; Labriformes; Labridae. The transcript has 3 exons.
GCCAGUGAGCCACAGUCGUAGUGAGAGCCAAACACUUGUGUGAAACCACAAAAUCUGCAAUAUCGGGAGGAAUUUCAAGCCAUAUUUGUGACCUAAGCCUUCAGUGAACUGAGUUAGCAAAGUCAGUAUUCAAACAGGAGUCCUGAUACCACCAGAUACUUGUUGAGGAAAAUUCAGAGAGACCACAAUCUGCCACAAGAAAACCAUGUCUGCCUUCAACAUGGACAUCAUUGAAUCUUUUAACCAAGCUGUCAAAGACAUGCCAUGGGAAGAGCUAGUUUCUACUGUCAGACUGGCUCUCGAUGAUGUAUUGGCAGAAGAAGCUUACGCUUCUCUUCCCACAUUCACUCCACCUGCACCUGCCCUGUCCAUGCUAGGUUUGAGCAAUACACCAAUACUAAGCCUGGUGAAAUAAAGGACAGGGAGUUUGAGCCCUCUGAAGCAGUUACGCUGUUUGAUCUAGACAGCUCACGGUCUAGCCCUGCUCCUGCCUUUGUGUACGAAACACUGAGACAGGAAGACAUUAUGGAACAAAGUCAUUACCAGGCCAAUGCAAACCAUGAGCAGUUGCUGUCCCAUCAGUGGACUGUAGAUAAUGCCGCAACAGUAUCCCCAGCUGCCAGUCAGCCUGUGAGUGCUGGUGCUGCUGCUCCUCAACAAGUAAGAUACCAUUGAACCUCUCCCUCUGUUGUUUCACUGAUUUGUUGCAGCACAAAGCAGGGGCAAGUCCCCUGCAGUCUGUUCUGGCGCUGCCUCCGUGAACAGAGAUGGGUUGGAUGUCGCUGCAAAACCAGUCAACCCAAGUGCAACUGCCACACAGACCCACUCCACUCCCUUAUCCGGGCUGCCACACUUGUCAGAUGCAACAGAUGUAUAAUAACAUCACUGGUCCGCUGCUGUCAGGAGUAGCGACUCCUGGGCUGUCCAACCUGCACAUGGACAGCCCUAUUGAAAAAUUCAAAUAAAACUUGAAGCAUA